ACGCGCUUCCUGCUCCUAUUUCCUACGCAGCAUAUUCCUGCAAUAGCCAAUUGGUCUACGCUACGUUUUGCGAUGGUAAUGUUGGAGUGUUUGAUGCCGAUACCCUUCGACUAAGAUGUCGCAUUGCCCCAUCAGUGUAUUUGCCAUCUGCAGUGUUGAAUUCGUAAGUAACUGAAAUUUAUGUUUUCGCAAAAUGAUUACAAGACUAAAGCUUAAGAGUUCUUUUUAUCAAAUUCUACCAUUAUACUCGUAAACGUUGUAUGAAGUGACAUUACAUUUUUUUUUUGUCAUUGUCAUUUCAAACUUCUGCAGAAGCCAAGCUAUAUACCCGCUCGUCGUUGCCACACAUCCAUUAGAUCCAAACCAAUUAGCCAUUGGGUUGUCUGACGGAUCUGUUAAAGUAAUCGAGCCAACAGAAUCAGA
RNAcentral lists this long non-coding RNA (423 nucleotides) under Cucumis sativus (cucumber). Its description in RNAcentral is "long non-coding RNA (CSAT_LNC000514)". The record is from RNAcentral. Lineage: Eukaryota; Viridiplantae; Streptophyta; Magnoliopsida; Cucurbitales; Cucurbitaceae.